Molecule: RNA transcript, 2635 nt
Organism: Halichondria panicea
Lineage: Eukaryota; Metazoa; Porifera; Demospongiae; Suberitida; Halichondriidae
Gene name: regulation of nuclear pre-mRNA domain-containing protein 2-like
Exons: 7
Source: RefSeq, a predicted model, not a curated record
AUGAGGCAGUCACGCCCCCCUCACAUGAUCUUUCUCUCUCUUUCAACAUGCAUGCUGCAUGGGAAUGUCUUCUUACUCGAUUCAGACGUUGACAGAGAAGUUGGAUAGGCUGUCCCUGUCCCAGGACAGCAUAGAGACACUAUCACUAUGGAUGAUACAUCACAAGAGCAAAGCAAAGACGUCUGUGGACACUUGGCUAGAGGAAUUCAAAAAAGGAGAUACGGAAAGACGGCUCAUUUUGCUCUACCUGACCAACGAUGUCCUUCAGAAUGGCCGAAGGAGAGGUGCCGAAGAGUUUCUCACUCUGUUCCAAGACGCCCUUCGUGCAGCCAUUCCCCUCGUCAGGGGUCAGAAAAUCCAGGGAAAUGUUUACCGGAUGCUCAAGAUAUGGAAAGAACGCCGAGUGUACGAUUCUAUUUUCAUGGGGGAGCUAGAGAUGAUCAUUGAGCCGACCAAACCACAGACACAGGAGGCAAAGCCGGCAGAAUUCAAGUUAUCACUACUGGAGGAUGCACUGACAGAGCUGGGAAAGUUCGAGGCAGAGCUAAAGAUCAAGUCGUCUCACCUGGCACAUCUUAGAGUGGACAUCAGUCACCCUCUAGCCAGUCUCGAGCAACUCAAGGACAAGGCCGAUGGUGGCAGAGUAUCCACUGAGAUUGAUGACGCGUCUCAAAAGCUGCAGGACUUGUGCGAGUGUCUUGGGGUGGAGGUCAACGAGAGAAUUAAUGUCCUAGAUAUGCUUAAACACACAAAGGCAUUCUCAUCUCAUAAAUUCAAUGAAUUCAAGAGAACUGUGCAGAACUACAAGGAUCUGGGUACUCGAGUCAAUUCAUUCAAAGACAAACUACAGCAACACCUUCGAGAUCUCGAGCGCGCCCAAUCAACAGCCACCUCUGAUCCAACAGCUGAUGCCGAUAUCACCGAAGCCGGAGACAUGGAAAUAGAGUCAGAAUCUGAUGCUGAGGAUCUGAUUGAACCACCCCCUGUUCUCCCGUCAUCAUCCAUUAUGACCGUGGGGCAAGCAUCGUCACACGGGGUGAUGGGACAAACUUUAAUGAGCGUUUCCUCAACACCUGCACAGCUGCACAUGAUGUCCUCUAUUUCAUCACAACCUCUAAUGGCUGUAUCUGCAGCCUCAGCAGUACAGCAGCCGUACACAGCUCCUCAGAACUCUAACUUUUAUCCGUCUAAUGUACCUAAUUUCUCUGGGCCUCAAAUUCCCACGGCUGCUAAUUAUCCUCCUCGUUUUCGCCCCCCACCGAUGCAAAGACCCCCCAGGAUGCCCCCCAGCAGACCACCCCCUUAUCGGCAUUCUGUACAUCUACCGCCCUCUCCCGUUCCUGCAUCCACAAGAAUUGGUGUCUCAAUCCCCCCGCCAUCUCAAGUCCUGGAACGUGCUCCUCCUAUAUUACCGCCCUCCAAACCUGAUGCCAAACCCAUGGCAACCACCCCCUAUCCCAUGGCAAUGUCAGCCAUGGCUCUAUCUUCGGCUAAUAGCUCUCCACUAGUUGUUGUGGGUGACCCGGUAUCUUACAAGAAAGAGAAUAGCGACGAAGAGAACAGUGACACUGAUGCUAAAACCAGUAUCGAUGAAAGAUUAGAGAACUUACAAAAGUCCACUAAACUGUUUAAAAUGUCAACCACGAAUGACAAUGGAUCUAACUCUGAUGACAAAACUUACAACGAUGAUAAUGAACUUUUCACCAACUUUUCAGAAAACAGAAAUGAACGCUAUUCACCAGAAGAGGCCAGCCCUAAACUGAACAUGGACAAUCCUAUUCUACAGGCCCUGUACUCGUCCCCUCAACCACCACCUGCUGCUGCUCACACCAGUAGCAACACUGGCCAGUCUCUAACCACCAUGAUGGAAGCUGGUAGCAAACCACCUACCUCUAUGGACGCAAGUCAAAUCAAGAUCACUCCAGCUCUCACUACUCUACUCGAUCAGCUCUUACCUUCGCUUUCCAAGUCCCUGCAAAUGGACAGGAAGAGAGAAAACAAUAGUAGCCCGGACAUUCCCAGCAGUAAAAUACCUCGAAUGAACUCAGACCAAGCUGGCCCUGGUGCUGUGCACUCAAAGCCAGCACACGAUGUGCCACCGUGGAUUAGAGACCAACAAUAUCAGCAGCAGCAUCAGCCUCACUUUGAUCAACAACAGCAUCACUUUGAUCAAAAGCAACAUCAGUAUGAUCAACAACAAAAGCAACACUAUGAUGAUCAACAACACUAUGAUGAUCAACAAAACUAUGAUCAACAACACUACGAUGAUUUCUCCCCACGAUUUAGACCUCAUUACCCCUCACCAAGACAAAGAUUUGAUAGACCAAGGUUUGGAAUGAGAAUGCCCUCGUCUCGGCCUAGAGGGGCCCCACGAUUUCGUGCCAGACCACCUCAUCCUCCCGAUGGCCAUAGAGCUGGAGACGGUUAUCAAAGACCUCGACAACAAUCAAGAGGCCGUUAUGGACCUGAGUUUGACAGGCGAUCAACUUACAGCUAGUGUAUCUAUGUAUAUUAGUACAUGUAUAUAUUGUUAUAUCUAUACAGUACUGUCUCUUCUUUUGGCUUGCACAUAUUUUGUAUGCGCGCAAUGUGUUUCCUGUGUUGCCCAAUGUUAUAAUUAUUGUCACGUGAAUAA